AACGCGAAGAACCUUACCCAGACUUGACAUACAGUGGAAGUUAGCAGAAAUGUUAACGCCCUUCGGGGCCGCUGAACAGGUGCUGCAUGGCUGUCGUCAGCUCGUGCCGUGAGGUGUUGGGUUAAGUCCCGCAACGAGCGCAACCCUUAUCCCUAGUUGCCAUCGGGUCAAGCCGGGCACUCUAGUGAAACCGCCCAGGAUAACUGGGAGGAAGGUGGGGAUGACGUCAAGUCCUCAUGGCCUUUAUGUCCAGGGCUACACACGUGCUACAAUGGUCGGUACAAACCGUCGCAAACCCGCGAGGGGGAGCUAAUCGGAAAAAGCCGGCCUCAGUUCGGAUUGGAGUCUGCAACCCGACUCCAUGAAGCUGGAAUCGCUAGUAAUCGCGGAUCAGAACGCCGCGGUGAAUACGUUCCCGGGCCUUGUACACACCGAGACGUA
RNAcentral lists this ribosomal RNA (441 nucleotides) under uncultured bacterium. RNAcentral's name for it is "bacterial SSU rRNA". It matches the Rfam family "Bacterial small subunit ribosomal RNA", at positions 958 to 1398 of the family's 1533-position model. The record is from RNAcentral.